GCUGGGCGUGGUAGCACAUGCCUGUAAUCCCAACAACUUGGGAGGUUGAGGCAGGAGGUGUGCAAGUUCAAGACUAGCCUCAGCAACUUAUAGAGGCCCUAAACAACUCUGUGAGACUUUGUCUCAA
This 127-nucleotide small RNA is filed under the name Marmota monax (woodchuck). Lineage: Eukaryota; Metazoa; Chordata; Mammalia; Rodentia; Sciuridae. The record is from RNAcentral.